GGGUCGUUAGCUCAGUUGGUAGAGCACUGGACUUUUAAUCCAUUGGUCGUGGGUUCGAAUCCCACACGACCCACCA
This 76-nucleotide transfer RNA is filed under the name Nevskiaceae bacterium. RNAcentral's name for it is "Sinobacteraceae bacterium tRNA-Lys". It matches the Rfam family "tRNA". From Rfam's summary of the family: Transfer RNA (tRNA) molecules are approximately 80 nucleotides in length. Their secondary structure includes four short double-helical elements and three loops (D, anti-codon, and T loops). The record is from RNAcentral. Lineage: Bacteria; Pseudomonadati; Pseudomonadota; Gammaproteobacteria; Nevskiales; Nevskiaceae.